UACGUAGGGGGCAAGCGUUGUCCGGAUUCAUUGGGCGUAAAGAGCGUGUAGGCGGCCAGGUAGGUCGGUUGUGAAAACUGGAGGCUCAACCUUCAGACGUCGACCGAAACCAUCUGGCUAGAGUCCGGGAGAGGAGAGUGGAAUUCCUGGUGUAGCGGUGAAAUGCGCAGAGAUGUGGAGGAACACCGAUGGCGAAGGCAGCCCCCUGGGCUAACACUGACGCUCAUGCACGAAAGCGUGGGGAGCAAACAGG
Molecule: ribosomal RNA, 253 nt
Filed under: uncultured bacterium
Lineage: Bacteria
Description: partial 16S ribosomal RNA
Rfam family: Bacterial small subunit ribosomal RNA
Source: RNAcentral